UCUGAAUCUGCGAACGGCUCCGCAAACCAGUUGUAAACCAUAGCAAGCACGCCUUGGGCCGCCGCAAGGCGGUCCUUGGCUAUAGGGAUAACCCUGGUAAUUCUGAGGCUAAUACAUGAACGUAACCCCCGGCCGACGGGCAACUGGAAGCCGGGGACCGUGCGAGUUAAGCGUAACGAUUUAUCGGAGUAGUCGCACAGUACGACCACCAUAAAAACGGUAUCCGCUUCGCUGCCUCACGGCGGCUGGCGGUGUCCGGGUGGCUCUUGCAAGGUGCUUCUGACCUAUCAACUAGAUGGCAGCGUAACGGACAUGCUAUGGU
RNAcentral lists this ribosomal RNA (322 nucleotides) under Physarum pseudonotabile. RNAcentral describes it as "bacterial SSU rRNA". It matches the Rfam family "Eukaryotic small subunit ribosomal RNA", at positions 80 to 350 of the family's 1831-position model. Lineage: Eukaryota; Evosea; Eumycetozoa; Physariida; Physaraceae. The record is from RNAcentral.